UUCAUUUGUAACACAUUCUUUUUUUUUUUUUUUAAAUCCUCAACAACUUUGUCUCUAGGCCUGGCGAAACUAUUUGUGUUAAGGAUUGGGUUGAGAAUGAUGAGGAGAUUAUUGGGAAACUACAACUCCAUUCAGCUUUGGCGGACAGGUUUCACAUAGGCAGGGGUCCUGCAUGGUUAAUGCAUCUGUGGAGAACUAGUUCCUUCACUUCUUGCUGCAGGAAGGAGAACCUGGGCUUUGGAGUCUGACAGACUGAUGUUUUCUAGCAUCUGAAAUGGGGUACCUCUCCUUAUAAACAGCUGAUGUGGGGAAACUUCCCAGGAGGAGAACGUGCCUGCUGUGAGUAAGGGUAAAUGAAGACAAAUGAGAUGCUGCAGCUUAGUUUAGGAUGCUGUGAAGGUCAAGAGAGGCACCUCAGGAGUCAGUUAAGGGCAUUGGCCUCCACCCCUGCUUGGCUUGGAGGACUGGUUCCCCUUUGUAUGGGAUGGCAGAGGAAGAAGGCCCUGGUGUCAUUAUGGAGGAAAGGGAAAUGGAUGCCCAAUGACCAUAGAAUGGUCGACAUUUUUCUUUGGCAACUUCUCAUGUAGUUGUAAGAAGAUCAGCUUCAAUGAUUGCUCUCAAUUUGUCAUUGUCAAGUUCUGAUGGCUGGUCACUAUGGUCCUCAUCUUCAAGGCUCUCAUCUCGUUUGAAAAACUUCUUGAACCACCACUUCACUGUAUGUUAGCAGUUUCUGGACCAAAUGUGUUGUGUAUGUUGCCAGCUAUCUUUGCUACUUUAUGAUCCAUUUUGAACUUGAAUAAAAAAAGAAUCCCUCAAAUUU
This is a long non-coding RNA of Bubalus bubalis (water buffalo), 820 nucleotides long. RefSeq lists it as uncharacterized. NCBI's taxonomy places the organism in Eukaryota, Metazoa, Chordata, Mammalia, Artiodactyla, Bovidae. The transcript has 4 exons. The record is from RefSeq and is a predicted model, not a curated record.